UAGGAAUUUCACUUCCGUUUGCUGGGAUAG
RNAcentral lists this non-coding RNA (30 nucleotides) under Rattus norvegicus (Norway rat). Lineage: Eukaryota; Metazoa; Chordata; Mammalia; Rodentia; Muridae. The record is from RNAcentral.